GUGCCAGCCGCCGCGGUAAUACCGGCAGCCCAAGUGAUGGCCGAUCUUAUUGGGCCUAAAGCGUCCGUAGCUGGCCGCGCAAGUCCAUCGGAAAAUCCACCCGCCCAACGGGUGGGCGUCCGACGGAAACUGCACAGCUUGGGACCGGAAGGCGCGACGGGUACGUCCGGGGUAGGAGUGAAAUCCCGUAAUCCUGGACGGACCGCCGAUGGCGAAAGCACGUCGCGAGGACGGAUCCGACAGUGAGGGACGAAAGCCAGGGUCUCGAACCGGAUUAGAAACCCUAGUAGCC
Molecule: ribosomal RNA, 292 nt
Filed under: uncultured bacterium
Lineage: Bacteria
Description: partial 16S ribosomal RNA
Rfam family: Archaeal small subunit ribosomal RNA
Source: RNAcentral